This is a non-coding RNA of Lepidopterella palustris CBS 459.81, 96 nucleotides long. The record is from the annotation of a GenBank genome assembly. NCBI's taxonomy places the organism in Eukaryota, Fungi, Ascomycota, Dothideomycetes, Mytilinidiales, Argynnaceae.
UCCUCCAUGGCGCAAUUGGCUAGCGCGUCUGACUGUUAUUGGGGAUAUUAUUCUCGAGACAUCAGGAGGUUCGUGGUUCGAGCCCACGUGGGGGAG